Molecule: ribosomal RNA, 497 nt
Filed under: uncultured bacterium
Lineage: Bacteria
Description: partial 16S ribosomal RNA
Rfam family: Bacterial small subunit ribosomal RNA
Source: RNAcentral
GAUGAACGCUGGCGGCGUGCCUAAUACAUGCAAGUCGAGCGAACAGAUGAGGAGCUUGCUCCUCUGACGUUAUCGGCGGACGGGUGAGUAACACGUGGAUAACCUACCUAUAAGACUGGGAUAACUUCGGGAAACCGGAGCUAAUACCGGAUAAUAUAUUGAACCGCAUGGUUCAAUAGUGAAAGACGGUUUUGCUGUCGCUUAUAGAUGGAUCCGCGCCGCAUUAGCUAGUUGGUAAGGUAACGGCUUACCAAGGCAACGAUGCGUAGCCGACCCGAGAGCGUGAUCGGCCACACUGGAACUGAGACACGGCCCAGACUCCUACGCGAGGCCGCAGUAGGGACUCUUCCGCAAUGGGGGAAAGCCUGAUGGAGCAAAGCCGCGUGAGUGAUGAAGGUCUUCGGAUCGUAAAACUCUGUUAUUCGGGAAGAACAAAUGUGUAAGUAACUAUGAACGUCUUGACGGUACCUAAUCAGAAAGCUACGGCUAACUCCGUG